CUUUUCCCGGAUGUGUACAUUAGAGAGCUUUUCAAGGUUUCCAGCAAAAAUAAAUAGAUAAGCGACAGCAGGAUCGAAAUAUUGCCGAUAUAAGGGUGGGAGUGUAUGUAUAUAUAUAUAUAUAUAUAUAUAUAUAUAUAUAUAUAUAUAUAUAAGUCGCUAUCUAGAAAUAUCUAAAGAUAGGACAACAAUCCAACAUAAAGUAGUUGUCUGUUGACGACAGCUGAUUCUACAACGUGAAAUAAUAUCAAUAACGUCAAAUCGCGAUUAAAAUAUUCUGCGACAAAUAUUCCCUAAUAUUUCCACAUUUCUUCACAAGAACUAUAACAUUUCUCAUAUACAUACAUAUAUAUAUAUAUAUAUAUAUAUAUAUAUAUAUAUAUAUAUAAUAUAUAUGUAUGUAUAUAUAUAUAUGUGUGUGUUGUGUGUGUAUAUAUAUGUGUGUGUAUAUGUAUAUAUAUAGGAAUAUAUUUGGGGGAGUGUUCUAGAAGUGAAUUUUAAAUAAUUUCCAGUUUGUAAAAAUUAAGUAGAAUAAAUUAGAAUCUAGUGUUGUAUUUGUCGUCGAUAAAACAUUGUGAGACAAAUAACCAUUACAGUUGGUCUAUCAUUGUCUGCGGAACUACACUAGAGUCACUUCUGUGAUAGUGAUGGUGGUGGUGGGCGGAAUCAGAUAGUACGGGUGGUUGUACUGGUAAUACAGAUGGUCGUUAUUGUGGUGCUGGUGAUGAUAGCGGUGGUAGUGAUGGUGAGUUAGCUUCCUAAAUCUCUCUACAGGUCGUUGACGUACUUUUCUAACUGUUGCUACUCUUACUGCAGCUACUUUCACGUUACAACAACUGUUGGUAUCGGUGCUAAUGAUGAUGAUAGUUUUGUUGUUUUGCCUAAGGUCAGCUCGGAUCAAGAAGACCGAUAAUCAAAGCUACUCCAGAUGCGACCAAUUUGUUUGAACACAGUGUAUGACAGAAUGAUUAAACUAUCUAAUGUGUCCUUCCUUAUUUAAAAAGUAAGGAAGACAAGUAGGGAAAUUUUGGCUGCUAUUUUUACCAGAUCAAAUAACCAUGUUUGGCCUUUGCAGUGAUGGUGAUGAUGAUGGUUGCAGGUUCCAGUCAUCUGUGUGUGGUGUGAUCACCUGAUCUGACACCGGUAGGCGGAGCUUAAAGGAGGAGUUGUGGAACGCUGGUCGUUCG
Molecule: long non-coding RNA, 1187 nt
Filed under: Octopus vulgaris (common octopus)
Lineage: Eukaryota; Metazoa; Mollusca; Cephalopoda; Octopoda; Octopodidae
Source: RNAcentral